CGUCAGUCCAAGCCCACGCCUGCGUGAACAAGCAGAGCAGGGCGACUGUAGCGUAGGAGUGACCACGCGAGCGAGUGUUUGCUGCAGUCGGCGAUAGCGUUGGGGUGCGCUGCUGGCGGGGAUCGCUACGAAGAACCUGCCACCUUGCCACUUCGCAAAUUGUUACUCACAGCUCUUGUUUUUGCUGAGACGAGGUUGAAGGAGCUGAAAGCCGAGCUCGCUGCCUUUACCGGGGGUGCGCCGAACAUGUUGUCUAGAUAUGUGAUCAGUCUGGAUGUUCGUGGUCUGGGUCCUUUCUUUGCGAGUAGAUAUAUUUGUAGCCAAUUGAUACCUUUUGUGAAUGCUCCAACCCGAGCAUCAUGGACGUGAUUUUUGUUUAUUUUUUGUUCUUUCUCAUGUUCUGUCGUGAGUCCAGGAUUACAGAGCACUGGAUUUUUUUGUGUGCUGUUAAUUUAUCACGGUAGCUCAAAGAAUUUGUUUGACUGAGGGUUCAUUGCAAUCUCUCCCGAUAAUGCCAAGUUUUUGUGGGGAUCUUGGAUGUAUGUCUUUGCAACAACUGAAAACUUCUCCCUAGCAACAUGCAAACUUUAGAGUACAAAGGUUAGGAAUAGGAGGCAUGAGAAAAGAAAGAAAAAUUCUCAAACUAAUGGCCAAAUGGAGUGGGUCAACCAAAUUCUUGAGCAAUAUUUGAGGUGCACCAUCAACUAUCAAGAAGACAAGUGAACUUCCUACUUGUCAUUGGCAGAGUUUGCAUAUAACAAUACAAUCUAUGCAUCUAUGCAAGAAACACCAUUCUACUCAAACUACAAUCAUCAUCCAAAGUUGGAUGUAAUAGAGCAUUCAAAGUCGACAAAUCUAGUAGCAAAGGAAUUUGCUACAAAGAUGGCCAAACUUCAAGCAACCAUAAAGACUCACCUUGAAAAGGCUCAACAACGUUAUAAGCUAGUAGCAAAUGAAUUGAAGAAAGAACAUCCUCCAUUCCAAGUUGGUGACAAAGUAUGGCUUCUUUGGU
Physcomitrium patens is the source of this 1012-nucleotide non-coding RNA. The record is from RefSeq and is a predicted model, not a curated record. NCBI's taxonomy places the organism in Eukaryota, Viridiplantae, Streptophyta, Bryopsida, Funariales, Funariaceae.